Myotis brandtii (Brandt's bat) is the source of this 906-nucleotide long non-coding RNA. RefSeq lists it as uncharacterized. The record is from RefSeq and is a predicted model, not a curated record. The transcript is spliced from 2 exons. NCBI's taxonomy places the organism in Eukaryota, Metazoa, Chordata, Mammalia, Chiroptera, Vespertilionidae.
GUUGGGUAUAAUCCCCUCCUGUUGACCCGUGUGUCCAGCAGCAGCUGGCUGCCAGGCCCAGCUGGGUCUUAUGGACACAAGUGGCCACAAAAGCAUGUUCCCUUUGGGACUUCCCUUCCCUUCGCCCUGAGUCAGGUGUGGAGGGGACUGGGGUCCUACUUGGGGGCACAACAGCAAGGCAAACAUUGUGUGCAAUCUUGCCACCCACAGUUCGUAUGAGUGCCAACAGAUGAAAGGGAGCGUUUUGAGAGCAGCUGAGAAAACGUGCCCCCCCUCUCCCCCUGCAAACUUCCGCCCCGAGGGCCUCGCAGCCUCUGCAGUGUGAACUCUGCCGCUGUGAUCGGGCAGGUUUGCAAGGGGACAAGAUGUCCCCACCGGCAUCUAGGACCUUAUGCAGCCUGUUUACACUGGCUGAUGCUGUUCUUGAAACAGGAAUUCUAGGGGUAACAGAGGGCAGGUUUAGGACAUUUUAGAAAUUAAGGGGACCAUGGAGGAAGCACAGGGCUGCAGAGCAGCAGAAGGUAUAUUUCCAUAGAAUGGGGGAGCUGAAACGCUGCAACAGGUGCAUUUCCAUAGAAUGAGGAGCUGGGAACAGCGGAAGGUCUAUAUUUACAAAAUAGAGGGCAGGAGCCCCUCAUCCACAAGGAGAAGAAGAAAGCCCAGAGGGAAUAAGGAGACAAUAAGGAAGGAGGGGAGAGAACCUCAUGUGAGGUUCAACCUUUGAGCCCAGGAGUUACUGUAGUAACCAGUCCAAGCGAAUAGUGACCGAUCAGAGGGGAUAUCAAGGCACAAAGAUCUGCAGCCUUUACAAGCCGCAGGGAAAAGGAACUCCGUGGGGGCCCUUUCCUCCUCCCCACGUUGGAGUCUGUACUUGUUCUUCAAUAAACCUCCACCUUUGCUCUACCA